RNAcentral lists this ribosomal RNA (467 nucleotides) under uncultured bacterium. RNAcentral describes it as "partial 16S ribosomal RNA". It matches the Rfam family "Bacterial small subunit ribosomal RNA", at positions 28 to 506 of the family's 1533-position model. The record is from RNAcentral.
GACGAACGCUGGCGGCGUGCUUAACACAUGCAAGUCGAACGGAAAGGCCCUGCUUUUGUGGGGUGCUCGAGUGGCGAACGGGUGAGUAACACGUGAGUAACCUGCCCUUGACUUUGGGAUAACUUCAGGAAACUGGGGCUAAUACCGGAUAGGAGCUCCUGCUGCAUGGUGGGGGUUGGAAAGUUUCGGCGGUUGGGGAUGGACUCGCGGCUUAUCAGCUUGUUGGUGGGGUAGUGGCUUACCAAGGCUUUGACGGGUAGCCGGCCUGAGAGGGUGACCGGCCACAUUGGGACUGAGAUACGGCCCAGACUCCUACGGGAGGCAACAGUGGGGAAUAUUGCACAAUGGGCGGAAGCCUGAUGCAGCAACGCCGCGUGCGGGAUGACGGCCUUCGGGUUGUAAACCGCUUUCGCCCGUGACGAAGCGUGAGUGACGGUAAUGGGGAAAGAAGCACCGGCUAACUACGU